GGUGAGAUGGCCGAGCGGUCUAAGGCGCCAGACUAAGGACCAGGGCAUAUUAUGCCCCGAAUUUACUUGUAAUCUGGUCACAUUGUGGCGUGGGUUCGAAUCCCACUCUCAUCA
RNAcentral lists this transfer RNA (114 nucleotides) under Galerina marginata CBS 339.88. It matches the Rfam family "tRNA". From Rfam's summary of the family: Transfer RNA (tRNA) molecules are approximately 80 nucleotides in length. Their secondary structure includes four short double-helical elements and three loops (D, anti-codon, and T loops). Lineage: Eukaryota; Fungi; Basidiomycota; Agaricomycetes; Agaricales; Galerinaceae. The record is from Rfam by way of RNAcentral.